Molecule: ribosomal RNA, 433 nt
Filed under: uncultured bacterium
Lineage: Bacteria
Description: partial 16S ribosomal RNA
Rfam family: Bacterial small subunit ribosomal RNA
Source: RNAcentral
AACGAACGCUGGCGGCAUGCCUAACACAUGCAAGUCGAACGAAGUCUUCGGACUUAGUGGCGCACGGGUGCGUAACGCGUGGGAAUCUGCCCUUGGGUACGGAAUAACUCAGAGAAAUUUGUGCUAAUACCGUAUAAUGUCUUCGGACCAAAGAUUUAUCGCCCAAGGAUGAGCCCGCGUAAGAUUGGCUGGUUGGUGGGGUAGAAGCCUACCAAGGCGACGAUCUUUAGCUGGUCUGAGAGGCUGAUCAGCCACACUGGGCCGGCGACACGGCCCAGACGCCUACGGGAGGCAGCAGUGGGGAAUAUUGGGCAAUGGGCGAAAGCCUGAUCCAGCAAUGCCGCGUGAGUGAUGAAGGCCCUAGGGUUGUAAAGCUCUUUUACCAGGGAUGAUAAUGACAGUACCUGGAGAAUAAGCUCCGGCUAACUCCGUG